UACAGAGGUGGCAAGCGUUGUUCGGAAUUACUGGGCGUAAAGGGCGCGUAGGCGGUCCCGUCAGUCCCUUGUGAAAUCCCCCGGCUCAACUGGGGAACUGCAAGGGAUACAGCGGGGCUUGAGUUCGGGAGAGGGAAGCGGAAUUCCGGGUGUAGCGGUGAAAUGCGUAGAUAUCUGGAAGAACACCAGUGGCGAAGGCGGCUCACUGGUCCGGUACUGACGCUGAGGUGCGAAAGCGUGGGGAGCAAACAGG
This 253-nucleotide ribosomal RNA is filed under the name uncultured bacterium. Its description in RNAcentral is "partial 16S ribosomal RNA". It matches the Rfam family "Bacterial small subunit ribosomal RNA", at positions 524 to 776 of the family's 1533-position model. The record is from RNAcentral.